GAAUCCAGCCCCAGCUCUGGAGCCAGGGGUCUCUUCCAAUAUCAGCACCAUGGCCUGGAGUCUUCUCCUCCUCCAGUUCCUCCUCACUUGCUGCCCAGGGUCCAAUUCUCAGGCUGUAGUGACUCAGGAGCCCUCACUGACUGUGUCCCCAGGAGGGACAGUCACUCUCACCUGUGGCUCCAGUGCUGGAGCAGUCACUGGGAGUCAUUAUCCCUACUGGUUCCAGCAGAAGCCUGGACAAGCCCCUAGAACAUUGAUUUAUGAUACAAGCAAUAAGCUCUCCUGGACGCCUACCCGGUUCUCAGGCUCCCUCGCUGGGGGCAAAGCUGUCCUGACACUGUCAGGUGCACAGCCUGAGGACGAGGCUGAGUAUUACUGCUGGCUGUACUAUAGUGAUGCUCAGCACAGUGACAGACUCAUAAGAGGAACCAAGACAAAAACCUCCCUAGGCCCUUGUGAUGUGGAGAUCACAUGAUCAGACAUGCCAGCUCCCAAGACAGCCUACAUGGGGAGAAGCCAUAGAAAGGGGAAGGAAGGGGUCUGAAUUGAUUUCUAUCUCUGCUUGUUCCCUGAAGUGAAGGAAAUGUAAGAGCGAUUUGCUGUAAUUGAAUCAGAACAAGAAAAAGUUAAUUGUUUUAUAUUAAAAAAAAAAAACAGAAACAGCAG
Piliocolobus tephrosceles (Ugandan red Colobus) is the source of this 666-nucleotide non-coding RNA. NCBI's taxonomy places the organism in Eukaryota, Metazoa, Chordata, Mammalia, Primates, Cercopithecidae. The record is from the annotation of a RefSeq genome assembly.